CAAUAGCGUAUAUUAAAGUUGUUGCGGUUAAAAGCUCGUAGUUGGAUUUCUGUCGAGGGCGGCCGGUCACCACUAUGUGGUUGUAUCUGGUUCGGUCUUGGCAUCCUCUUGGGGAUCGUUUCUGUGCUUCAUUGCAUGGGGCGGAAUUCAAGACUUUUACUUUGAGGAAAUUAGAGUGUUCACGGCAAGCUUUCGCUUUGAAUACAUUAGCAUGGAAUAAUAAUAUAGGGCGUGAGUUCUAUUUUGUUGGUUUCUAGAAUACACGCAAUGAUUAAUAGGGAUAAUUGGGGGCACUCGUAUUGACGCGUCAGAGGUGGAAUUCUUAGAUUGCGUCACGACGAACUACUGCGAAAGCAUUUGCCAAGGAUGUUUUCAUUGAUCAAGAACGAAAGUUAGGGGAUCGAAGAUGAUUAGAUACCAU
RNAcentral lists this ribosomal RNA (421 nucleotides) under uncultured eukaryote. Its description in RNAcentral is "SSU rRNA". It matches the Rfam family "Eukaryotic small subunit ribosomal RNA", at positions 592 to 1018 of the family's 1831-position model. The record is from RNAcentral.